GGGCGCACCGUUCGGAACCCGGAAAAGCGGAGCCGGGGGUUUGCCACCGGCCCGCGGCCCUCCUCGGUGGCUGGCAGUGGUCUUCGCUGGGUAGUUUCGGCCGCGGAAAGUUCCACUUUCAAAGCAGUUUCCCGAAGUAGUUGUAGAGUCUGCUUGGGGCUCGGAUUGAGGCUACCGCGGAAGUUAUACUUCUGAGUCACACAAACUAGUUAUCUUAACUCAUUCUUGUCUGAACAUGGACCGUUACCACUCUACUCUCAACCAUCUGAAUAGCAUGAAAUGUUGAUCUUGUCUUUUGUCUACUUCUUUUUGGAGAGACUUCAAGCAAGCAAUGCAACUAAAAUGGAAAAAGAGAAGGCAGAGAUGGCGUUCCUCAAGUAGUUCCUGGCCUCAGCUUACUGAGACAAGUCCUUGUAAAAGGGAUCAAUCAGUUUAAUGUUAUGGGCCACAUCUGGCACAGACCUGGUAUCCCCAAAUGUUCAACAUUAACUCCCUAAAGCAAGUAAGGAAAAAAAUCCAGGUUUCUAAAAAUAAAACGGGCCUGCUAAGUCACGAAA
Molecule: long non-coding RNA, 557 nt
Organism: Odocoileus virginianus texanus
Lineage: Eukaryota; Metazoa; Chordata; Mammalia; Artiodactyla; Cervidae
Source: RefSeq, a predicted model, not a curated record